CGCUGUAAUCGCAGAUCAGAAUGCUGCGGUGAAUACGUUCCCGGGUCUUGUACACACCGCCCGUCACACCAUGGGAGCCGGGAAUGCCCGAAGUCGGUGACCCAACCGUAAGGAGGGAGGCCGCUGAAGGCAGGCCUGGUAACUGGGGUGAAGUCGUAACAAGGUACC
RNAcentral lists this ribosomal RNA (168 nucleotides) under uncultured bacterium. RNAcentral describes it as "partial 16S ribosomal RNA". It matches the Rfam family "Bacterial small subunit ribosomal RNA", at positions 1333 to 1500 of the family's 1533-position model. The record is from RNAcentral.